RNAcentral lists this small nuclear RNA (136 nucleotides) under Rhinolophus ferrumequinum (greater horseshoe bat). RNAcentral's name for it is "U2 spliceosomal RNA (ENSRFEG00010010265.1)". It matches the Rfam family "U2 spliceosomal RNA". From Rfam's summary of the family: U2 is a small nuclear RNA (snRNA) component of the spliceosome (involved in pre-mRNA splicing). Lineage: Eukaryota; Metazoa; Chordata; Mammalia; Chiroptera; Rhinolophidae. The record is from Rfam by way of RNAcentral.
AUCGCUUCUCGGCCUUUUGGCUAAGAUCAAGUGUAGAAUCAUUGAAUCCAUAUGAAAAAAAUUCAAAGGGAAAAAAAUUACUCCAGAAUGGUUACAUUUUACAUUUGUCAACAAAACAAAAUUUUGGAUCCUCUUU